Molecule: ribosomal RNA, 465 nt
Filed under: Vreelandella stevensii
Lineage: Bacteria; Pseudomonadati; Pseudomonadota; Gammaproteobacteria; Oceanospirillales; Halomonadaceae
Description: partial 16S ribosomal RNA
Rfam family: Bacterial small subunit ribosomal RNA
Source: RNAcentral
CCUACGGGUGGCUGCAGUGGGGAAUAUUGGACAAUGGGCGAAAGCCUGAUCCAGCCAUGCCGCGUGUGUGAAGAAGGCCUUCGGGUUGUAAAGCACUUUCAGUGGGGAAGAAAGCCUUGGGGCUAAUACCCUCGAGGAAGGACAUCACCCACAGAAGAAGCACCGGCUAACUCCGUGCCAGCAGCCGCGGUAAUACGGAGGGUGCGAGUGUUAAUCGGAAUUACUGGGCGUAAAGCGCGCGUAGGCGGUCUGAUAAGCCGGUUGUGAAAGCCCCGGGCUCAACCUGGGAACGGCAUCCGGAACUGUCAGGCUAGAGUGCAGGAGAGGAAGGUAGAAUUCCCGGUGUAGCGGUGAAAUGCGUAGAGAUCGGGAGGAAUACCAGUGGCGAAGGCGGCCUUCUGGACUGACACUGACGCUGAGGUGCGAAAGCGUGGGUAGCAAACAGGAUUAGAUACCCUAGUAGUC